UUCAUUUACGUGACUAUCCCUUUUGACUCUUUAUCCCCUCCAUUUAUUUCAUCCCCAACCAUCUUCUCUGCUUCCACCUAGCUACUCAAUCAAAAACCCUAAUCCCCAAUUCCCAUUUUCACCCAAAAUUCAAGAUAACAAACCACUAGAACAAUGUCUAAACGAUAGGUAAGUCCAGCACUCCAUCGGAGAAAAGGAAGCUUAAAUCAAUUCAACAUAAUAAACCGUUUAUUCGAGAUCCAUUUCGAGGUGUUGGAAUGGUGGUAAUCCGGUUGUUGUUGUUUCUUGUGUUGGUGAUAGUCCAGCUAAGGUUGAAUUGAAUGAUGAUUUGAGGAGGAGGCGGUCUAUUUCGGUUGCUUGGCAUCAGAUUAGUGACUCUGAGAUUGUGUUCAAAGUUGAUCUCAACUAGAGGUGGCAAUCUUGACCCAAAGGCUUUCAAGUGGGUUAGUUUGGGUUGCUAUUAAAAUUAUAUGGGUUAAUUUGGGUAAGAUAUUUUAAUUAAACGGGUCACAACGGGUCAACUGAAAUUCCAUCUUGUUAUUUCUGGGUCAAAGCAGGUCGACAACUUUAAAGAAAUGGGUCGGAUUGAGUUUCGUACCAAGACGGGUUUUGGCACGGGGCGGGUUUUGGAUCGGAACGGGUCCGUUCGGAUCGGGUUCGGGCCGACACAGGUUUCCGCACGGGACGGGUUUUGGAUCGCAACGGGUUUUAGGCCGACACGAGUUUCCGCAAGGGUCGGGUUUCGGAUCGCAACGGGUUUCGCAUUGUAUAGCCACACCUAACGGUUUUAGAAACUUUAACUAUGCUGCAAUGUUGAGGCUGCCCAAGAGUUUAACCCAUGUAGAGAAAGUAGAACAAGCUGAGCUCAUCAUACUUGAACUUUGAUUAUGUGAUUAGUUUCGAAUAAACUGUAGAAAUACAAUGCAAAAAAAAGUAUUCAGGUCACGUGAUUAGUUUUUAAUAAUACAAGUUGGAAAUUUAUUUGCUCUUUUGUUUCGGUUUUUUCGGUUUCGUUUCGAAUCGGUUUCAACAAUUUUCAGUUUUUUUUUUUUUCGUUUUGGUUUCGGUUUAUUGUUUCCGUUUGGUCGGUUCAUUCGGUUUCGUUUUGGUUAAGUUUUGAUAUUUAGCUUCGUUUUAAUCGGUUUUUUUGUUUCGUUUCGGAUCGGUUUUGAUCUUUUUAGUUUUUUAUUUCGUUUCAGUUAGGUCUUUUUGUCCGUUUCAACCCGAACCCGUGCUGACCCACACCCAAUUCGCCCCGAACCAAAACAACCUUUUUGUGUAAUUGACCCGUUUUGACCCGACCCAUUUUGACCCUACCCAUUUUGACCCGUGACCCGACCCGACCCGUUUGUCAGGUCUAAUCUCAACACAAACAUCAAGCUGGUAAUACAAACCAAAAUCAUGCCACUUCACUUUUUAUCUAACAAAAUAAAAUAGGUCUUCAUGUUUUAUAAAUCAUAAAUAUAAUAUUGUUUUAUGAACUUAUAUACUUAUCAAGGAGACAAACAAGGGAGCCUAGUAAAUCUAGCUGUACUGCUGACAGUAGCAGCAUUACGUUUGCUUCUGUCCCGCAAUCGAUCUGUUCAUAUAAUCAGGCUGCAGUAAUGGAAGAGAAUUUGGAUGAAUAGAACGAACUUUCAUCGAGGAGCAAUGAAUUACUGUUUUUGCUUCUGUCCCGCAAUCGAUCUGUUCGUAUAAUCAGGCUGCGGUAAUGGAAGCGAAUUUGGAUGAAUAGAACGAACUUGCAUCGAGGAUCAAUGAAUUACUGUUCGAUGUAGCCGCUCAAUCUCCAACCCACUAUGGAUGUUACGUGAUGCUGGUGGGAGAGAACCCACUGCCUCUGAAGAAGAGAAACAACUUGCUAAUGAGUGUUCAGCAGAAGCAGAACUGAGUGCAAAAGUGAAUCAGAUUAUAAGUAUAAUUAUAGAUCUGUGGGAAAAUGAGCCUGUUCUUCGUCCAGCUGCCAUGGCAAAAUAAUGAUAUAAAAAUAUAUUAAUAGAUACAGAGAUGGAGACUUGUCAACAGGAUUAGUCAAUAAUACUUAAAAGGAGGCUUGCUGAUGAGAUUGAAAGACAGAGGAUGAAAUGCUUCCCAUGACCGAAAAAUAGGUCAUGAAGAAGCAACAACGGGUGUAGGGUAUCAUAUUUAUUUUGAUACUGACAGGGACUUAAAGCUCGUUAACUUGCAAGAAAAAAAGAGUGUAGCUGGCUAGUGAAGAAAUGUAGCUGGCUAGUGAAGAAAUGUCGAAUUACUUGCAGCAUCAACCAUUUGUAGCCAUAGAUGGUGAAGGUGGGCUAAAAAGACCUGCUGAAAAUUUUCUCUCAGAUGCAAAGUUAUAUUUUAAAGGUAUUGACGAGGAAUGUAAACUUACCUUGCCGCGAAGCGCUCGUGCUUUUAUAUCUAUAUAUACAACUUAUAUAUGAAUCGUUUAAGGUUUGAGUUAUGUUUCCGCCCUGUAUUGUUGACUUCGCCGUAACGUGCGGGUUCCCCACAAGUUUGUUUGCAUGUCGACUUGUGUGAAAUAUCACCAAUUUAUGGUGGACUUUGUUUAUACACGCCCAAUUACUAAACUUUUGGUCU
Molecule: long non-coding RNA, 2580 nt
Organism: Helianthus annuus (common sunflower)
Lineage: Eukaryota; Viridiplantae; Streptophyta; Magnoliopsida; Asterales; Asteraceae
Exons: 4
Source: RefSeq, a predicted model, not a curated record